RNAcentral lists this ribosomal RNA (253 nucleotides) under uncultured bacterium. RNAcentral's name for it is "partial 16S ribosomal RNA". It matches the Rfam family "Archaeal small subunit ribosomal RNA", at positions 474 to 727 of the family's 1478-position model. The record is from RNAcentral.
UACCAGCACCCCGAGUGGUCGGGACGAUUAUUGGGCCUAAAGCAUCCGUAGCCGGUCCUACAAGUCUUCCGUUAAAUCCACCUGCUUAACAGAUGGGCUGCGGAGGAUACUAUAGAGCUAGGAGGCGGGAGAGGCAAGCGGUACUUAGUGGGUAGGGGUAAAAUCCGUUGAUCCAUUGAAGACCACCAGUGGCGAAGGCGGCUUGCCAGAACGCACUCGACGGUGAGGGAUGAAAGCCGGGGGAGCAAACCGG